This 460-nucleotide ribosomal RNA is filed under the name uncultured bacterium. RNAcentral's name for it is "partial 16S ribosomal RNA". It matches the Rfam family "Bacterial small subunit ribosomal RNA", at positions 338 to 795 of the family's 1533-position model. The record is from RNAcentral.
CCUACGGGAUGCUGCAGUGAGGAAUAUUGGUCAAUGGACGAGAGUCUGAACCAGCCAAGUAGCGUGAAGGAUGAAUGCCCUAUGGGUUGUAAACUUCGUUUAUAUGGGAAUAAAAUGUUCCAAGUGGGGGAUUUUGUAUGUACCAUAUGAAUAAGGAUCGGCUAACUCCGUGUCAGCAGCCGCGGUAAUAAGGAGGAUCCGAGCGUUGUCCGGAUUUAUUGGGUUUAACGGGAGCGUAGGUGUAUUGUUAAGUGAGUUGUGAAAGUUUGCGGCUCAACCGUAAAAUUGCAGUUGAAACUGGCAGUAUUGAGUACAGUAGAGGCGGGCGGAAUUCGUGGUGUAGCGGUGAAAUGCUUAGAUAUCACGAAGAACUCCGAUUGCGAAGGCAGCUCACUGGACUGCAACUGACACUGAGGCUCGAAAGUGUGGGUAUCAAACAGGAUUAGAUACCCGAGUAGUC